AUGCUGGGGACUAGCUUUUCAGAGCAGCCCUGGGAGUCGGGGGGCAGGACCCGUUUCCAGCAAGGACUGGGCUUGGCUCCGGGUCCUGGGCAGAGGAGGGAAGGCCUGCACUAGCUCCCUCCCCAGGGCAGGCUCUGCCCUUCCACCCUGCGCUGCCUCGAGGAGCUGAACCCCGCCGGCACCUGGCGACCGCCCCGGGGCGCAGGACCAGCCAGGCGGAGGAGCUGACGAGAGGGCAGCGCCGUGCCGGGGGGGUGGUGUAGCUGCCUGACUGCCUCCCCCUCAGCGGGGCCGGGCGGGGCGGGAGCCGGCGCCUCGCCGCCACUCCGCGCGCUGCUGCUGCGGGAAGCCGCUCUGGGCUGGGAUUAGCAGCCGCCCCCUCCCCGCUCUCUUCCUCUCCCUCCUUCCUCCUGUCUCUGCGCGGCGGCGGCGGCGGAGCAGGCACCAUUCCUAGGAGACCACAAGGAUCGUUAUUGUUCAGGAUUUCAAAGAGCCAUCAUUUAUGUUUGUGGACACAAGUGAAUGGACAAUGGUGCCCCAAUCAUCUGUUCAAGCUGUUUGAAAGAAAGGCUUCUGUACAAAUGGCAUGA
This 590-nucleotide long non-coding RNA is filed under the name Crocodylus porosus (Australian saltwater crocodile). RNAcentral describes it as "lncRNA (ENSCPRG00005011533.1)". Lineage: Eukaryota; Metazoa; Chordata; Crocodylia; Crocodylidae. The record is from RNAcentral.